This 497-nucleotide ribosomal RNA is filed under the name uncultured bacterium. RNAcentral's name for it is "partial 16S ribosomal RNA". It matches the Rfam family "Bacterial small subunit ribosomal RNA", at positions 28 to 507 of the family's 1533-position model. The record is from RNAcentral.
GAUGAACGCUGGCGGCGUGCCUAAUACAUGCAAGUCGAGCGAACGGACGAGAAGCUUGCUUCUCUGAUGUUAGCGGCGGAUGGGCGAGUAACACGUGGAUAACCUACCUAUAAGACUGGGAUAACUUCGGGAAACCGGAGCUAAUACCGGAUAAUAUUUUGAACCGCAUGGUUCAAAAGUGAAAGACGGUCUUGCCGUCCCUUAUAGCUGGAUCCGCGCUGCAUUAGCUAGUUGGUAAGGUAACGGCUUACCAAGGCCACGAUGCGUAGCCGACCUGAGAGGGUGAUCGGCCACAGUGGAACUGAGACACGGUCCAGACUCCUACGGGAGGCACCCGUAGGGAAUCUUCCGCCGUGGGCGAGAGCCUGACGUUGCCACGCCGCGCUAGUGAUGAAGCUCCUCCGACCGUGAGACUCUGUUAUCUGGGAAGAACAUAUGUGUAGGUACCGGCACUCUUCUUGACGGUCCCUACUCAGACACCCCCCGCUCACUACGCG